AUAUCAGUCAUGCAUAGCAUAUCAAUAAGCGGAGGAAAAGAAACUAACAAGGAUUCCCUUAGUAACGGCGAGUGAAGCGGGAAGAGCUCAAAUUUGAAAUCUUCAAGGUUCUACCUUGACGAAUUGUAGUUUAUAGAAGUGUUUUCUGUUAGUAGAGUGGCAAAAGUUCUUUGGAAUAGGACAUCAUAGAGGGUGAGAAUCCCGUAUUUGGUCAUUCUUUCUAGCUUUGUGAUACACUUUCAACGAGUCGGAUUGUUUGGGAAUGCAGUCCAAAAUGGGUAGGUAAAUUUCAUCUAAAGCUAAAUAUUGGCGAGAGACCGAUAGCGAACAAGUACCGUGAGGGAAAGAUGAAAAGAACUUUGAAAAGAGAGUUAAACAGUACGUGAAAUUGUCAAAAGGGAAGCGUUCGACACCAGUGUUGUUUUUCCGAAAAUCAAUUACGAAUGUUUUAUUUUUGAGGAGUUAUGACUUCAUCGGCUUGCUCCUUUCUUUAUGAAACUUUCUUAAUGCACUUUUCGGUUAACAAGUCAACAUCAAUUUCUUUUGUUGUAAAAGGGUAUGAGGAAGGUGGCUUUCUUUUCGGAGAAAGUGUUUAUAGCCUUGUGCCUCUGCAAUCGGAGAGAUUGAGGUCUGCAGCGUGGAUCCUUCGGGGUUAGAUACGUUUGUGCUAAGUUAUAGCUUUUCAUAGACAACUUGUUGACUAUGUUAAGUCUUGUAGCUUACUCGCUUAUGCUAUUUUACCUACGCUUAGGAUGUUGAUCUCUCACAGUCGAGC
RNAcentral lists this ribosomal RNA (775 nucleotides) under uncultured Neocallimastigales. Its description in RNAcentral is "partial large subunit ribosomal RNA". It matches the Rfam family "Eukaryotic large subunit ribosomal RNA", at positions 22 to 645 of the family's 3401-position model. Lineage: Eukaryota; Fungi; Neocallimastigomycota; Neocallimastigomycetes; Neocallimastigales. The record is from RNAcentral.